AUUGAACGCUGGCGGAAUGCUUUACACAUGCAAGUCGAACGGCAGCACGGACUUCGGUCUGGUGGCGAGUGGCGAACGGGUGAGUAAUGUAUCGGAACGUGCCCAGUCGUGGGGGAUAACGUAGUGAAAAUUACGCUAAUACCGCAUACGAUCUAUGGAUGAAAGCGGGGGAUCGCAAGACCUCGCGCGACUGGAACGGCCGAUAUCAGAUUAGGUAGUUGGUGGGGUAAAGGCCCACCAAGCCAACGAUCUGUAGCUGGUCUGAGAGGACGACCAGCCACACUGGAACUGAGACACGGUCCAGACUCCUACGGGAGGCAGCAGUGGGGAAUUUUGGACAAUGGGCGAAAGCCUGAUCCAGCCAUUCCGCGUGCAGGAUGAAGGCCCUCGGGUUGUAAACUGCUUUUGUACAGAACGAUAAGGUUUCUACUAAUACUAGGAGCUCAUGACGGUACUGUAAGAAUAAGCACCGGCUAACUACGUGCCAGCCGCCGCGGUAA
RNAcentral lists this ribosomal RNA (500 nucleotides) under uncultured bacterium. RNAcentral describes it as "partial 16S ribosomal RNA". It matches the Rfam family "Bacterial small subunit ribosomal RNA", at positions 30 to 523 of the family's 1533-position model. The record is from RNAcentral.